CUUCAAGGACGGCCUUGAACGCGCGUGCACCCGGGGACGGCCCCG
This 45-nucleotide non-coding RNA is filed under the name Orrella dioscoreae. Its description in RNAcentral is "Guanidine-II riboswitch aptamer (mini-ykkC)". It matches the Rfam family "Guanidine-II riboswitch aptamer (mini-ykkC)". Rfam says of the family: Simpler in structure and has fewer highly conserved nucleotide positions than the ykkC-yxkD leader. RNAcentral also lists the same sequence under 1 other name. Lineage: Bacteria; Pseudomonadati; Pseudomonadota; Betaproteobacteria; Burkholderiales; Alcaligenaceae. The record is from Rfam by way of RNAcentral.